Camelus dromedarius (Arabian camel) is the source of this 2179-nucleotide long non-coding RNA. The record is from Ensembl. Lineage: Eukaryota; Metazoa; Chordata; Mammalia; Artiodactyla; Camelidae.
GAGGGCAGGCGGCGGGGCUGCAGGGGAGGGAGGGAGGGCGGGGGCCGGGGGCCGCGGAGCUGGGCGGGAGGCGGAGCGGCGGCGGCGGCGGCGGCGGCGGGAGGAGGGAGGCGGCGGGGGGGAGGGGGGGGGAGACUCUACGUGUGGAAUCGGAUCUCGGCUACAAAUUCAUCAUCACCAGAGAAAACUCCGCUCGGGCGGGGGCCUGGGGCGCCGGCGAGGGCGGGCGGCGGCGGGGGCGGCGGGCGGAGGCUCUGGGCCCCGGCGGCCUGGCGCAGGUCGGGGCUCUGUGGCCUCCCUCGGGCCGCCGCGCCGCGCCGGGGGCCUCGCCGCCGCCUCCCUGCCCCCUCCUCUCCCUGGGGCCGCCGCGGAUCGUUUCUCGCCGCCGCGGGGCUUGUUGUUGACUUUGAGGAAAACUCCUGACGUCAGGGGUUGGCGCUCGGCGACUGGCGGGAGCGGCUUCCCCGCGUCCGAGCCGGCCCGCUGCCUCUGCCCCCUCCCUCGGGCCCUCGUUCACGGGCUUCCCUGCGCCCCCAAGUCCGCGGCGGCCCGCGCCCCCUCUCCUCUCGCGAGAACACCCCCCAACCGGAGCGUGGAGCAGGGCGUCGUCCUGGGCGGGAAGUUAUGGGUUUUCCCCCGCGCCCUCGUGGCCCGUGGCAGGCACCCGAGGCCCGGGAGCGGAGGCUCGCUGCCCUCCUCCGCGCGAGGCCGGGCCUGGGGCUUCUUCUCCGGCCCGCCACGCCUCCGGGGAGGUCGGGUCGGGCUCGUGAGGGGCCGGGACCUGAGGCCCUCGAGGUGGGCGGUGCCAUGUGGAGACGCGACCCUGAGAGCUUGGAGCUGGGCCGGAACCGACCCCACCCCUCAACACCUCUGGGGUCAGUCCAAAGCCUGGCACGGUUGCUGACUCCCGGGAGACCUUACCGUCCAUUCCAAGAACACCUCUCGGAAGGCCAUCUCAGAGCUUCCUACAGGGCCAUCCUGAAUUUAGCAGACUCUGCCAAUUGUUGUAUGAUGGUACUCCACACAGAGUGUAUGCUGAUUUCUCCUCUUCAUUGUCAUCACAUUCCAAUAAUAUGGAGAGCAACAGGACAGGAAUGUCCCUCCUUGGAGAGAAAACCCUCAUUCUUUGCUAAGCCAGGCCAUUCUCUCCCUCUUGGUUCUGCCACAGAAGUAGUACAGCCGCUAAUUUCCCAGUGUCCACAGAAUACCCUCACUGAGGGAACUGACACAUUCCAAGCCCUUUACAAGAUCCCACGGAAGCCCAUGGAAGCCUUCUGGCAUGAGCUGAAGAAGCAUCUUCCAUCCCCUCCCAGUUGGAGAAGAGAAUUACUCAGCCUAAAACUGCAUGAGCUGCAUAGAGGAGUUUCCACAGCUGCCUUCUCCGCCCGAGGCAUCAGACACUGAGAGCAGUGGUUCUGAGUGUGGUCCCUGGACCAGCAGCCUUGGCAUCACCUAGAACUUGUCAGACACGAACAUUCUCAGGCCCCACCCCAGAACUGGUGACUAGGAAACCCCAGGGUGGGGUCCCAGCAAUCCGGGUGGUAACAAACCCUCCAGGGGAUUCUGAGGAGACCAGUGACUUGGAGGGUUUCCCUGGGGAUCUUCACCAGGGCAUCUCCAAGAAGUACCCUGGAGUAAUUAAGGAAGUGAUCAAGAACUCUCCAGGGUUCGGCAUUCCACGGGUGGCAGCGCAUUUCCUGAGGGACGGCACAGGGACCUCUGGCAUGCCUGCGGCGUGCCCCUGGCACCACAGGAAACCCCCACCCUCUGGGGGCUGCCAAGCCCCAAACAGCUGGCCUUGGCUCUCUGGGGCUUAUAAACGAGGCUGGCCGGUUCUCCCUCACCAUUGCAGGGCAAGACAUCGGCCAGCCGGGGCCCUGGUUGUCACCUUCCCUCCAUUUUCCAGUCCUCUUCCUGGAGGGGAGACUGCUCUGGCGAGAGUUUGUCCAGGCUGAAGCUGGGGGGACCGGGGCCUCGUAUUUGGAGGGGCAGUGAUCCUACCCCUGGGGAAGCUGCGGACUUGCUGAGGAGCAGGUGGAGAGCCAAAGAUGUUGAGCCAGAGGGAAGAACCCCAGCAGAUGCCAACCCAGAGGAGGAGGGCAGAAGCGAUGUCCCGGCAGCCUGCGCCACAAGGGGCAGAAAGCAGAGAGGGGCUCGUACACACCUGAGACCAGCGUCG